This is a long non-coding RNA of Strigops habroptila (Kakapo), 1288 nucleotides long. RefSeq lists it as uncharacterized. The transcript has 2 exons. The record is from RefSeq and is a predicted model, not a curated record. Lineage: Eukaryota; Metazoa; Chordata; Aves; Psittaciformes; Psittacidae.
UGCACCGUACCACGGUUCAACCGCCGGCCGGAGAGCAGCGGAGCUUCCCGCAGAAUGUGCAGCACUCCGGGCUGCCUCCACCCAAGCCCAGACCUGCAAAGACACAUGAUGACAAGUUCUCUGUAAAAGAUGCAGUACAUACCAGGAAAGACGCCAGACUCCUUAAAGUGACACUAAAGCAGCCCUAGGUGUAUUGCGAUGAAUGAAAAAGCGCCAAAAAUAAACGGUGGAGCUAUCCAGAAGUGGAACCAAUAGCUGCUGUCCUUAAAAUAGAGAAAACGUUUGAUUUUGCAUUGCUUAAGCAACCCAUCAGAAAUUACUGGGCGUAAAGAGACAGCAAAGCGUGCUCAAAACAACCCUGUCUACAGUGGCCCUGUAACAUGUGCCAUGUGUUUCAGGUCUGAAGUGCAGGCUAUUCCCUGCCUCCUCCCUUGUACAAUAACGCCAGUGUGAUGUUAGUUUGAGGGGAGCAGGUCAUGGCAGAGUGCUUUCCACCCAAAAACUGUGUCGUGUUCAUGGAGGUCAGCACAAAGCUGGUGGCCGUGUACAGUCCCUUGGCUUAAGCCAAACCAAAAUGCUGUUCAGUUUUGAUUUCUGAAAGCAGCCAUCUGCUCUUGGACUCAAGGUGGGUUUUUCUCUGGUGGGUUUUCCCUUCCUCCCAAACCCCAAGAUAGACUGGCUGUAUGCUCUUAGGUGUUAGCUGGCUGUUUUCUUGUAUGACAUAGAACACUGGAUGUGUAAAGCAAAGAGGAGAAACGCAGAGAUCAAACGAUCAAGGUAACGCUGGACUGAUGAGGUAUUUCUUGAAAGUUUUCUUCGUCAUCCUAACUCAUCUGAUUGAUUGAAGGUGGCAGUAGAAAUUACUUAAAUAGCAUCCUGGAUGUAUGAUUACUGGCAGGGAAAUAAACAUAGGAGAGAGCCAGGGCAUAUACAAGAUCAGCAGUAGCAUGGGAAUGCAAAUGAAAGGAGACAAAUGUGGUUUCAUUAGACACAUCCUAAUAUUUCUGUUCAUGUGGGCUUCCUACAGAAGUAACCCUACAUUCCUUUCGUAGCAAAAAGUACACAACCAACACCAUGAAGAAUGUUAAGAGAUGUAUGGGAGGCUCACACGUACAUUAGGAGAGGACAACCUGUUGAUGCAGGCUAGCAUUGGCUUUUUUUCAUUGAGCAGAGGACAAGCAAGACCUUGUUUCUAGUUCGGGCACUAUGGUAAGGAGGAGUAUGAAUUUGUCAACCCAACAUACAAAAAGUCUGUUUUAUUAAACUUGUUUUCUGCAAAAACACAAAC